UGUAGAUUGUUCAUUGGUCUGCAACAUAUAAAAAAAUCAAGCCUAAAUCAAAAAUUUUGGCAUGAUCUUUUCUUAUUUUACAAUUUUUAAGCUAUUUUUUCAAGCCCUCCUAAAAAAAGGAAAUAAGGUAGAAAAGAGGAAGCACACCUUAUUUAGCCUUGAGUUUUUCUUCUGAUAGCCUGAAUCGAUAUUAUUUUUGAAGCAUUUGGAAAGAAGCGGCCGAGAGAGCAAAUAGCUUUCAAGCCUUUCCAACAGACACCUACUACUUUAAAAAGCAUCAGGUGCAGUCUGCAGUGUGAACUCGGUUUGGAACUGGGUUGACUCAGUGCGAAGUGGCCGGUUCGCAUCGAGUUUGCACCGAACCGACCGGUUUUGACCGGUUCGGGCACUUACUGGCCAGUUAUGGUCGGUAAGGGACCAGUUUUGGCCGAUAAAGGGCUGGAACUGAUCUGAUGCGAGGCACUGCCCGAACCAGGCGAUUCAGCCUGUUCGACAGUUCUUAGAUUUAUCUAAUACAUAAUACUAUUUUUUGUAUUUAUUUAUUUAUAUAUUUUUAAUAAUUUUUAAAUUUAAAUAUAUGUUUAAAUAUCGUAAA
RNAcentral lists this long non-coding RNA (595 nucleotides) under Phoenix dactylifera (date palm). RNAcentral describes it as "long non-coding RNA (PDAC_LNC019249)". The record is from RNAcentral. Lineage: Eukaryota; Viridiplantae; Streptophyta; Magnoliopsida; Arecales; Arecaceae.